GAUUUUUUGAAGUGUAAGAAAAGACAGCAAGAGAAGUAGAAAUAGCAGAAGUGCAAGUCGAUCGAGGUCAAGAACACGAUCACGUUCUAGAUCACAUACUCCAAGAAGACACUAUAAUAAUAGGCGGAGUCGAUCUGGAACAUACAGCUCGAGAUCAAGAAGCAGGUCCCGCAGUCACAGUGAAAGCCCUCGAAGACAUCAUAAUCAUGGUUCUCCUCACCUUAAGGCCAAGCAUACCAGAGAUGAUUUAAAAAGUUCAAACAGACAUGGUCAUAAAAGGAAAAAAUCUCGUUCUCGAUCUCAGAGCAAGUCUCGGGAUCACUCAGAUGCAGCCAAGAAACACAGGCAUGAAAGGGGACAUCAUAGGGACAGGCGUGAACGAUCUCGCUCCUUUGAGAGGUCCCAUAAAAGCAAGCACCAUGGUGGCAGUCGCUCAGGACAUGGCAGGCACAGGCGCUGACUUUCUCUUCCUUUGAGCCUGCAUCAGUUCUUGGUUUUGCCUAUCUACAGUGUGAUGUAUGGACUCAAUCAAAAACAUUAAACGCAAACUGAUUAGGAUUUGAUUUCUUGAAACCCUCUAGGUCUCUAGAACACUGAGGACAGUUUCUUUUGAAAAGAACUAUGUUAAUUUUUUUGCACAUUAAAAUGCCCUAGCAGUAUCUAAUUAAAAACCAUGGUCAGGUUCAAUUGUACUUUAUUAUAGUUGUGUAUUGUUUAUUGCUAUAAGAACUGGAGCGUGAAUUCUGUAAAAAUGUAUCUUAUUUUUAUACAGAUAAAAUUGCAGACACUGUUCUAUUUAAGUGGUUAUUUGUUUAAAUGAUGGUGAAUACUUUCUUAACACUGGUUUGUCUGCAUGUGUAAAGAUUUUUACAAGGAAAUAAAAUACAAAUCUUGUUUUU
This 899-nucleotide long non-coding RNA is filed under the name Homo sapiens (human). RNAcentral describes it as "HSALNT0062858". The record is from RNAcentral. Lineage: Eukaryota; Metazoa; Chordata; Mammalia; Primates; Hominidae.